UUUACUGAAAAAGUAUAUUGUUAUUGGGGAUGAAAAAGCUGUCGGCCAAAAGGACCUACAGAAAACAAAGGCUGUGGGUCAGAGUGGUUUUCAGUUGACUUCAGGCUUAAGGACCGACGUUAAUAUCGAACGCUGGAUAAAGUCGGAGUUCAAAUUGACACUCUUAAGAUUACUGAUAGGAUUUUGUCACUUCUAUUUAUAUAACAACAUAAAAAAUUAACCUAUAUCUUCAAAUAAUCGCUCGUUAAAUGUCAUGUCAAUACUUUUGAUACCCUGUAUGAUAUAAUACUAUAUUUAGAAAGCCUCACGAUAAACUGAUGUUAAGGGCAUAAGCAUUAUAAAUAUAAAUUCAUCAUAUAACUAUUACAAAUGGUGGCAUCAUGUAUGCAUCUAAAUACCCACAGAUCAGUUGUAUAUAAUAAGUUUUCGGGCAAAUAUAAUUUGUCAUAUUUAGAUCGAAGCACUUUACAGUAAAUGAUUAUGUUUCUAUACACUCUGCAUUAAUUUUAUGUGUUUCUGUUUUAAGCAAAUAAGUUCAAGAGUAAAAUGGGUGAAUGAAGAAAUAAAUAAUGAAAAAAUACAUUUGAAAUAAUUUUAGAUUAUAGUUAUCAAUGGGCAAGAAAUAAUAGGUGAUUGCUCAAAUGUUUGGGAGAUAAAGUCAAACACACACCAAUAUUGAAGGCCUAUCUAAUGAGAAUGAAUAAUGUAACGCAAUCUAAACCUUGCAAACGGAAAUACUGAUAUUAAUUAAUUAAUAUUUUACUUCCACAUUUCAAUUUCACAUGACAAAACAAACUUGUAUAUAGAGUACGAUCGAGAAUACUUGAACAGAAAAUCCAAUUCUUAACAGGUUUAGUUUACCAAAAGCAAAAUAUACAAACAAGGUCAAUAGUUCAAUGUAUGCAACUUCCUAUUCACAAUACAUGCAACUUUUCGGUGUAGAU
Long non-coding RNA from Haliotis rubra (blacklip abalone), 944 nucleotides. RefSeq lists it as uncharacterized. The transcript has 3 exons. The record is from RefSeq and is a predicted model, not a curated record. Lineage: Eukaryota; Metazoa; Mollusca; Gastropoda; Lepetellida; Haliotidae.